GUGGCCAUGGGUGUAGUGUCUGCCAUGUAGAGGAGCAGCUGCUGGCUGUCGCACCAACACUCCAGCUUGCCUGGAGCAAGGUGCACAGAGGAAAGGGCAUAUGAGGACACAGCUAUAAGGCAACCAUCCACAGCCUGACCAGCAAGAUCUUACCAGAAUCAAACCCUGCUGGCAUCGUGAUCUUGGCCUUCCAGUCUCUAUAACUGUGAAACAAUACACUUCUGGUGUUUAA
Saimiri boliviensis boliviensis (Bolivian squirrel monkey) is the source of this 232-nucleotide non-coding RNA. The record is from RefSeq and is a predicted model, not a curated record. NCBI's taxonomy places the organism in Eukaryota, Metazoa, Chordata, Mammalia, Primates, Cebidae.